AAGGUGGGAUGACGUCAAAUCAGCACGGCCCUUAUGUCCAGGGCUACACACGUGUUACAAUGGUCGGUACAGAGGGCAGCUACCUGGUGACAGGAUGCUAAUCUCGAAAACCGGUCUCAGUUCGGAUCGAAGUCUGCAACUCGACUUCGUGAAGCUGGAUUCGCUAGUAAUCGCGCAUCAGCUAUGGCCGCGGUCGAAUACGUUCCCGGGCCUU
This 214-nucleotide ribosomal RNA is filed under the name uncultured Sphingobacteriales bacterium. Its description in RNAcentral is "partial 16S ribosomal RNA". It matches the Rfam family "Bacterial small subunit ribosomal RNA", at positions 1170 to 1382 of the family's 1533-position model. Lineage: Bacteria; Pseudomonadati; Bacteroidota; Sphingobacteriia; Sphingobacteriales. The record is from RNAcentral.